GCGGCAAUUGAUAUGGCUAUAAAGGAAAAUUUGUUUGGCUCCGAUGAGCACGUAAAAAAAUGCGCCAAAGCAACCCAACUGCUGGUGAAAAGAAUGGAUGAUCUUUUCGACGAAUUGGAUUGCAAGACGCUUUGCAAUCCAAAUGAGCGAAGACGACCAAUAAAAAGAGGUUGUAUUGAAAAAAUUAAUAGAUUAAAAGAUCACAUUCAGUACAUAAGGAAUAUGAAAAAGCCCAAAAGCCAAAUAAUAUGCCUCGAUUCGUUUAUAUUAACAAUAAAUGCAAUGAUUGCAUUGAGCGGCGAUAUAUUCGAAGAAUAUUCGAAUGUAUCCUUUAUACUCUUAGGGAGAAUGAACCAGGACGCACUGGAAAACUUUUUUUAUAGGAUACGGGCAAAUUUAGGAUGUAAUAAUCAUCCAUCAGCACACGAGAUGCAAUAUAUUGUUGCAAGGUUAGUAUCCAUGCAUAUAUUGCGACGCAACUUCUCGCAAACAGGCAGCAAUUGCGAAGAAGACGACGAUGAAAACCUUGAUUGGAAUAUUGGCCAGGAAGACGACCUUAAAGAAAAUUUAAAACCGUCUGAGCAACUUGCCGUGGAACAAAUAUAUGUUCCAGAUGAGCACUUUGCUCAGACCGAAAAACCAGCAGAAAUACAGGUUCGUCGCUAUUAUACUGGAUAUGCAAUAUACCAGAAGGUUUUCUGCAGAUUAAAAUGCGAAAAAUGUGCAUAUUUAAUGAGGAAGAGUGAUACCUCUCUACAAGCCUCAUCGGAAGCCCUUAUAAGGUCUAAAAAUUAUAAAAGCGCGGAUGACCUAAGGCUGGUUAAUCCCAAUGAUAGAGUCUUCGAGAUAAGCCGCCUUCAAAUGAGCCUCUAUAAAGAUUUGUUUAAGGAAAAUUCUUGCAGAGUGGGUAUAAAAUCGAUGAUUUUAGCCCAGAUUACUACAAUUACCGAACAAAAAUACCCAGAGUGGUACAGCGAGGCUGGAGAUUGCCUCGAGCAUAGGCACCAAUUUUUAGAUUUUUUAAUAACAGUUUUACUGUUUAAAAACGCGAAAUGGCUGGCACAGCAGCAGGAAGAGUCUUACAAAAAUGAAGUUAGGGCGAGAUAUUACAAUAAAAGAGAGAAACUAAAGAAACUGGUAACAUAAGUUGAUUGUAGGCCAUAUUUAAUUUUUCUAGCAACUUCCGUGUUAUAAAAGAUUCUUCAAAAACUAAUAAUGUUCUUUUUAUUUUUUUCAGGGUAGAAUUAAGUUGUAAAUAGUUUGUAGUAGUAGUAGUAGGUUUAGUAUUAGUUAUUGUUAGUUAGUUUUAGUAUUUAUUAAUUUAGUAAGUAGUAUGAACACGUGAGCCAAGCUUUGAAAAAAGCCGGUGAAAAAGACCUAAUCUUUAUUGAUUAGGUUGUGUGAGAAUUUGCCAUUGUACAUGCUCAAUUCUGCUAAAUAGCAGCGAGAAUGGUGAAAUUCCGUGUCGCAAUUUUAUAAGCUCUGUUAACCGUCCAAUCGAACAUCAUACAGAAUUCAAUUUGCACCUUCUCUAUGUUUUAAGUUCUCUGCUUCAAUCUUAUAAGCUCUGUUAGCCGUCCAAUCGAACAUCAUACAGAAUUCAAUUUGCACCUUCUCUAUGUUUUAAG
This is an RNA transcript of Bactrocera neohumeralis, 1628 nucleotides long. RefSeq lists it as uncharacterized. The transcript has 2 exons. Lineage: Eukaryota; Metazoa; Arthropoda; Insecta; Diptera; Tephritidae. The record is from RefSeq and is a predicted model, not a curated record.